Molecule: ribosomal RNA, 468 nt
Filed under: uncultured bacterium
Lineage: Bacteria
Description: partial 16S ribosomal RNA
Rfam family: Bacterial small subunit ribosomal RNA
Source: RNAcentral
GACGAACGCUGGCGGCGUGCUUAACACAUGCAAGUCGAACGGAAAGGCCCUGCUUUUGUGGGGUGCUCGAGUGGCGAACGGGUGAGUAACACGUGAGUAACCUGCCCUUGACUUUGGGAUAACUUCAGGAAACUGGGGCUAAUACCGGAUAGGAGCUCCUGCUGCAUGGUGGGGGUUGGAAAGUUUCGGCGGUUGGGGAUGGACUCGCGGCUUAUCAGCUUGUUGGUGGGGUAGUGGCUUACCAAGGCUUUGACGGGUAGCCGGCCUGAGAGGGUGACCGGCGACAUUGGGACUGAGAUACGGCCCAGACUCCUACGGGAGGCAGCAGUGGGGAAUAUUGCACAAUGGGCGGAAGCCUGAUGCAGCAACGCCGCGUGCGGGAUGACGGCCUUCGGGUUGUAAACCGCUUUCGCCUGUGACGAAGCGUGAGUGACGGUAAUGCGUAAAGAAGCAACGGCUAACUACGUG